CCCCCAAAUAGUCUGAGCUAAACCAGUUAGAGCAGACUGCCCCUGCUUUGAGUUAAACCAGGUAUCCUUAUGUAAGCACUUGGAAACACCUCUGAAAACACAGUAAGGAGAUUAAGGACAUUAUCUCUCAGGACACACAUAAUCUUUUACACCUUUCCAUCAAAGGAUGCUGCAUUACAAGAUGUUUUAGCAGUUUAGUGACUGGCUAGACCAACAAACGGGGAGUACUUAACUCCAGUCAGGCCAGAAAGAUAAAUUCAUUCUGAAAUUACACUUACCUUACAACUCCGGGCUCUGCUGCCUGACAGGCGCUCCAGAUUCUGAGCUGUGGGACGGACAAACGGAGGCCUCACCUCAGGCCUCCAGCUUGGCCGCGGUCGCCAUGGAAAACCUCCCGGCUACCGUAGCCGCUAUAGCGACCGCUACUGUGGCGCACGUCGGCCUGUGUGCGCCCCCUGCUGGGCGGAGGGCGAGCAGCGCCGGCGGGACCCGGAGGAGGAGGGCGGGAGGCGGCGCUCAGCGCUACCGCCAUGAGGGGUCACGGCAGGACGGCAGCACUCACAGAGCGAUUGGGCAAUGCCUGCCAUGAGUCGUGGGAUCACAGAAGCGCUAAGAGUGGAAAAGAUUGGUGUAGUCCGACUGUCAGUGCAUUGCCACCGUGCACACUACACGGUGUCCCUCAGUGCCAUAUGGAUGUGUUUUGUGGAAUCCAUUCUGAUUCUGAUUUGGUUAAACAUGAAGGCACCGAAGAACAAUUGCCAUCUGUGCUUCCAUGUGCUGUCCAGUGCAAGUCUGCCAGCUCUGUUUGUUGUGAGAGUCACGUCGCUUCAGGAAUUUGUACGCCAGCAUUUAGUCAAUGGCAAAAUAAAGCCAGGAAUACAAAUGAAUAUUGUUCGUCCACACACAUUUGGUUUCUCUGUUGAGCAGACUUGAAAUGAAAAGACUCUGAAAGGAAGUUUUCUUCAGCCAGUCUCGGAUACUCAUCGCAAGUGAGAAAGCAGUUAAAAUUUGAUUACUGUCUCUCAUUUCCUGUUAGUGCAAGAGAUAAAGACUGUGCUUCCAAUAUGGCCUUUAUAUAUCCCAGAUUGUUUUAUGGAAGUAUAAAUUGCAGUUUAGAUUCAAAGACACAAAGAAAUAUGGGCUCUGUAUUUUGACACUGAAGUCUGUAGGAAUUACUUUGCUGAAGGUGCUGCGGCACUUCUUUCAAUCAGGCCUUUCGUCUGCAGAUGGAGUAUUGUAUUCCCAUUUGCAAACUAUGGGUCAUUUGUUUUGUCCUCGUGUGCAACUUCUCCUGCUGUCUAUGGGAAACGUGGGAGCUGAUCAAGGACAGGAUGCCCAUAUAAACCAAUAUACUAGAACGAUUUGUUAGGCAUGACAGCCUGAAUCUGGUGAAAACAUCGGUUUCCAACAUUUGCUCUUUUCUCUCGUCUCGCAAAGCAGCAUGGUGCAAGGCAUGAGCAGCUGAAGAGAAAUAUGGAAAUUAAUUAAGAGAUGUCAGUCUCAUGCUGCACGCCUUGAUCCUGUUCACAUUUAAGCCAGUGCAAAUUUUGCCAUUAACUUCAAAGCGAUAGCCGUGACAUCACUCAUUGAUCAUGAGAGUUAUUUCAUAUAUAAUCAAAUAAUCACAUCAAGGGCUCAGUCGUCCUGCAAGCUGCUAAAAAACUGUUGCAGAUUGAAGCCUUUCUGUCUGCAGAAGUGUGUUCAAAGAGGCUCUUACAAAGUAUAGAAAAAUGUGCAGAGGGAUCAAUGCUGUUGGAAACCUCAGUGCCCAGAUGGGAGGAAAAAACCCAAACCACUCUUGAUGACUGUUGUGGAGAGGAGGCAUUGCCUAGUGUUGAAAUGUCAUCCACUGCAUUCAAGUGACAUGCACAAUAGCCACUUAAAAGAUUUUUCAUUUCCUUCUAAUGCCAACCAGUUGUAGCUCUCAAGUGCUCUUAACAGCAAAGCUUAAAAAAACCGAGAGCAGGAAUAGCCACGAAUUUUAGCAAAGAAUGUGGCCAUUAAUGCAAUGUGGCAAUCAAAACUGAAGCGUAGCUGCAGGUUCUGAAGUUGAUCCUGCUGGGCAGAGCCCCAUAAUAUAAGGUAAAAUUCUGUCUCUGCUGACAUCAGUAGGAGGCCUUUGUUGACCUGUGUAAAAUUGGAUUUUGCCACUGUACUCACUGGUUUCUCUUUUACAUGUGGCUUGUGUACACUUAAACAUUUUUGCUUCAGAUUGUUAAAAUAUAAGGCUUUACGUAUAUGUAUAAUGAUUUCAAGCUAUUAAUGGUAAAAUUAAAAGGGAUAAGAUAUCCAUACUUUUGUUUGUGCAUGUCUUAUUUCUGAUUCAUAUCAUCUGUAAAUGUCUGUGGGGAAAAAGACAUCAAAUAAAAAAGAAACAAAACGUCUGCCA
This is a long non-coding RNA of Coturnix japonica (Japanese quail), 2389 nucleotides long. Lineage: Eukaryota; Metazoa; Chordata; Aves; Galliformes; Phasianidae. The record is from Ensembl.